RNAcentral lists this ribosomal RNA (301 nucleotides) under uncultured bacterium. RNAcentral describes it as "partial 16S ribosomal RNA". It matches the Rfam family "Bacterial small subunit ribosomal RNA", at positions 509 to 809 of the family's 1533-position model. The record is from RNAcentral.
CAGUCGCCACGGUAAUACAGAGGGUGCGAGCGUUAAUCGGAUUUACUGGGCGUAAAGCGUGCGUAGGCGGCCUUUUAAGUCGGAUGUGAAAUCCCUGAGCUUAACUUAGGAAUUGCAUUCGAUACUGGGAAGCUAGAGUAUGGGAGAGGAUGGUAGAAUUCCAGGUGUAGCGGUGAAAUGCGUAGAGAUCUGGAGGAAUACCGAUGGCGAAGGCAGCCAUCUGGCCUAAUACUGACGCUGAGGUACGAAAGCAUGGGGAGCAAACAGGAUUAGAUACCCCCGUAGUCCCUGUCUCUUAUAA